UGUUCUCUUCCACUUCCGUUAUCCUCUUCCAACCCCGGUCUGUGACCACAAAGCAGGCUACAGCCUUACUGAGAGGAAGAGGGAAAAAAGAGGCAGACAUGUGCCAGGAUCUUCAGUAAUCAGCAACCCGGUAGAACCAUAUUCUGCGCAUGGUGUACGAUUUAACCCAGAUGACCUCUAUUUUCUUGGUACUGACUCUUUCUUCCUGACUUAUUUCAAGACAAGAUGACACUGCAGCUUUUCUCAAGCUCCCUGCCUCGGCUCAAAGACUUACCAGUUCCACCACUGAUAAUGACAUAGUUACAGUUAAUGUUAUUACAUAAUCGCCUCUGUGUUCCCUACGCGUGUUCCAAAAAUAAGUCCUCAGAGGAGAAAUAUUU
This is a long non-coding RNA of Ahaetulla prasina, 380 nucleotides long. RefSeq lists it as uncharacterized. The transcript is spliced from 3 exons. Lineage: Eukaryota; Metazoa; Chordata; Lepidosauria; Squamata; Colubridae. The record is from RefSeq and is a predicted model, not a curated record.